RNAcentral lists this transfer RNA (74 nucleotides) under Candidatus Desulfofervidus auxilii. RNAcentral's name for it is "tRNA-Arg". It matches the Rfam family "tRNA". Rfam says of the family: Transfer RNA (tRNA) molecules are approximately 80 nucleotides in length. The record is from RNAcentral. Lineage: Bacteria; Pseudomonadati; Thermodesulfobacteriota; Candidatus Desulfofervidia; Candidatus Desulfofervidales; Candidatus Desulfofervidaceae.
GCCCCCGUAGCUCAGGAGGAUAGAGCGAGGGAUUCCUAAUCCCUAGGCCACUGGUUCGACUCCAGUCGGGGGCA